This 253-nucleotide ribosomal RNA is filed under the name uncultured bacterium. RNAcentral's name for it is "partial 16S ribosomal RNA". It matches the Rfam family "Bacterial small subunit ribosomal RNA", at positions 524 to 776 of the family's 1533-position model. The record is from RNAcentral.
UACGUAGGGUGCAAGCGUUGUCCGGAAUUAUUGGGCGUAAAGAGCUCGUAGGCGGUUUGUCGCGUCUGCUGUGAAAACUCGGGGCUUAACUCCGGGCCUGCAGUGGGUACGGGCAGACUAGAGUGCGGUAGGGGAGACUGGAAUUCCUGGUGUAGCGGUGAAAUGCGCAGAUAUCAGGAGGAACACCGGUGGCGAAGGCGGGUAGCUGGGCCAACACUGACGCUGAUGCGCGAAAGCUAGGGGAGCAAACGGG